Molecule: ribosomal RNA, 1147 nt
Filed under: Salmonella enterica
Lineage: Bacteria; Pseudomonadati; Pseudomonadota; Gammaproteobacteria; Enterobacterales; Enterobacteriaceae
Also listed under: 1 other name
Description: partial 23S ribosomal RNA
Rfam family: Bacterial large subunit ribosomal RNA
Source: RNAcentral
CCACCACUAAGCCAGUGGUGAACUCCACAUCCGCAUCCUUUGCUGAGGAUACGGUUAACGGAGCGAAAGCGACGUUCAACCGCAAAACAAGCAGAGGGGGCUUAGUGGUGGGGUGACUGCGUACCUUUUGUAUAAUGGGUCAGCGACUUAUAUUCUGUAGCAAGGUUAACCGAAUAGGGGAGCCGGAGGGAAACCGAGUCUUAAUUGGGCGUUAAGUUGCAGGGUAUAGACCCGAAACCCGGUGAUCUAGCCAUGGGCAGGUUGAAGGUUGGGUAACACUAACUGGAGGACCGAACCGACUAAUGUUGAAAAAUUAGCGGAUGACCUGUGGCUGGGGGUGAAAGGCCAAUCAAACCGGGAGAUAGCUGGUUCUCCCCGAAAGCUAUUUAGGUAGCGCCUCGUGAAUUCAUCUCCGGGGGUAGAGCACUGUUUCGGCUAGGGGGCCAUCCCGGCUUACCAACCCGAUGCAAACUGCGAAUACCGGAGAAUGUUAUCACGGGAGACACACGGCGGGUGCUAACGUCCGUCGUGAAGAGGGAAACAACCCAGACCGCCAGCUAAGGUCCCAAAGUCAUGGUUAAGUGGGAAACGAUGUGGGAAGGCCCAGACAGCCAGGAUGUUGGCUUAGAAGCAGCCAUCAUUUAAAGAAAGCGUAAUAGCUCACUGGUCGAGUCGGCCUGCGCGGAAGAUGUAACGGGGCUAAACCAUGCACCGAAGCUGCGGCAGCGAACGUAUCACCCAAGACAACUUUACGGAGUUGACGAUUGACGGAGCGAAGCGACGUCAAAGCGUUCAUUAAAGUCGAGUUGGCUUAGGGAUACGUUCGUUGGGUAGGGGAGCGUUCUGUAAGCCUGUGAAGGUGUGUCGUGAGGCAUGCUGGAGGUAUCAGAAGUGCGAAUGCUGACAUAAGUAACGAUAAAGCGGGUGAAAAGCCCGCUCGCCGGAAGACCAAGGGUUCCUGUCCAACGUUAAUCGGGGCAGGGUGAGUCGACCCCUAAGGCGAGGCCGAAAGGCGUAGUCGAUGGGAAACGGGUUAAUAUUCCCGUACUUGGUGUUACUGCGAAGGGGGGACGGAGAAGGCUAUGUUGGCCGGGCGACGGUUGUCCCGGUUUAAGCGUGUAGGUGUGUGUUCCAGGUAAAUCCGGUU